CCAGUUAAGUUUAAAUUUCAGAUAAACAAUGAAUAAUGUUGUAGUAUAAGUGUGUCCUGUGCAAUAUUUGGGACAUACUUAUGCAAAAAUAUUAUUCCUUGUUUAUCUGAAUUUCAAAGUCAACCGGGUGUCCUGU
Molecule: microRNA precursor, 136 nt
Organism: Chlorocebus sabaeus (green monkey)
Lineage: Eukaryota; Metazoa; Chordata; Mammalia; Primates; Cercopithecidae
Source: Ensembl